This 591-nucleotide unclassified non-coding RNA is filed under the name Hevea brasiliensis (rubber tree). Lineage: Eukaryota; Viridiplantae; Streptophyta; Magnoliopsida; Malpighiales; Euphorbiaceae. The record is from RNAcentral.
UUUUUUUUUUUUUUUUUGCUUAAAUGGGAUUAAUCAUCAAUGUAUAUUUUAAAGUGUUGAUAAAAUUUGAUGAGAAAAAAUAUUAGUGAGAUAGUAAUUAUAAUUUUUAAAACUUCACGUUGAUCCCAAAUACAAAAGCACAAAAGCAAUAUAUUCUCUCAAUAAUGAUAAAAUUUGUGGUCUUUUUCUUUGGCACAAUUUAGGUUCAAAACUAGCAUUGCAAAAAAGAAAAGAUUAUUUAUCUCCUUUAAAAAAAAAAAAUCCUCCUCUCUCCUUUUUGCUGUCCACAAUCAUCAAAAUUUCUGACUCCACCAUUGUGCUUCACAAUUUUAUGCAUUUACGAAGUUUUAAGCAUUAUCACAACAUGGAGAGGGUUGAUUUGAAUGAAAAACUAAAACAUACAAUAUCUGUUCUGCAUUUUUGUUGUUUUAAGGUUACGUUUGGUUCUACAUUUUUAUCGUUCUAAGGUUAAGUUUAGUAAAACAUAAUGUAAUAACGUAUGAUCAAUUAUGUAAUACAAUCAAGAAAUUGUAAUAUAAUUUAAUUAUCAUUACAUUUCUCUAUUUGGUAAUAUAAUGAUAAUUUUUAUUU